AAGACCUAAAACGUUAACGUUUUACCAGUGGGACAAGCCCCUGGAAAAGGAAAUGGUGCAUUGAACGUCACAAAGGCACACGCAUACCGAUUUUUUGAUCCUUGUUUCAGAAAACCAUAGCUAGGUUUCGCAUAACAGUUCCCUCUUUCUUCAGCCUCUCUGAAAGCGUAGCUUGGUGCGGGAGAACCCCGAGGCUCCCCGCUCUGGUUUCCAGGCUCAGGGUUACGAUGUGUGUUCCCUGAAAUGCUCUACCUGUGCUCUGCAUCGGCUUCCAGCCAGUUCCAGUAUGCAAUAUUAGUUUUGGCUUUGGGAAAUAAGGUCUCUUUCACUUGGCUGGAAGUAUAACAGCAACCAUUUUAUUUUGCUUGCGCCCCAUGAAUUAAUUGGGCAAUGAGGAGAAAGGGUACGCAUACUGGGCAUCUGGGUUUUCUUAAACCCACAGUCCACCCAGCUUUCUAGAACCCGUCUUGCUCUCUGGCAAGGAAGGAGUGUGCUCUACCAGUGCUCUAAAGGGGACUUUGGAGUGGAGGCGGCAGAAAAUGAAAAGGUUGACCGAGAGUCUGGCAGUUUCCAUGGGCUGCGCUUGACAUCUGGGGCAAAACGGAUAUGAAGGAUGAAAGGAAGGCCAGAGGAAGUUUGGUUUUGCAGAACAGGAACCCGAGCGGGUUAAUUUCUUACAUUCUUGCUCUGCUUCCCCCUGCACACACACUGGCCGUUUGUCCAGAAGAGCCGUUUGUCCUUGCGUAUCUUGCCCGUGAGCCCUUUAAGCUGUCGGAUGGCUCUUCCCCGUGAGCUCCCUCUGGACGUCUUCCCCUCAGCCCCGGUGGGACUGUUGGGCUUUCCGAUUCAACUUUUCCCCAAAGUGAUGUUUUCCAGACCAUUCCUUUUCCUAAGAUCUACUGCCCUCCCCCACCCAGGCAAAUGAUGUCUGCCCUUUGCCAAGUCUGAAAUGAGGAUGUGGGUGCAGGUGGUUUAUUGGAGCAGGGUCCCAGGGAACAGGAAGGAGGGAAGAAAAGCCCAUAUGAGUAUAGGUCUCUGCUGGUGGUGCCUGCACCUUCUAGAGGUGUGCAGAAAGUCACCAGAAAUCUCGGUUAGAGGACAGGAGACUGGGCAUUCAUUUACCAGCUCCUCCCAGUCGUUUGAGGGCUCCCUCUGAAAGAUGAGAUGGUCCUGCCUUGGCAAGGGCGCAGUUGAGUGUGAAUGCCCUCGGGACCGUCUGCCGUGCCAGAGCUGAAAUCAGAGUUGGGCCAGGAGUAAAUGACGCAGGGCAUCUGAGGCAUAUUCUAAACCGGUUUCUGACCCCAACCCCAACACCAGCUCCCACAACACGAGUUCAACCCAUAACUGCCUUUUGCCAUUUGAACAAAAGCAUUGGUUAACUCUCCUCCUGGCCGUAAUCCCUUCCUGAGAUUUUCCAUGAGCCCGAAGGGAAGACAGUCUGCAUUCUAAGUAGAGGUAAACAGAUAGGACUUUGUGUUUUGGAUGGAGAUGGGUGGAGUUUGAAUCUAGACCUUGACUCCUCCUGAUCACUGUGCUUGACGCUAGAUAUAAAAUAGGAAGCAACGUAAAUGGGAAAAUGCCUGAAAAGCUAUGACAUUUCAAGUAUACUGUGCAAGAGGCCUUAUUUUGAGCUAAACAAAUAAAAUCCAGGCUUUAGGAAAGGUAAAUAAGGAAUUGAUUACUUCAACCACAAACUCCUUCUGUUUACAAGAAGAUCAAUGCUGAAGAAAUUUUAAUCUUAGCAUCUUAACAGAGGUCAGUGCAGCGCAAAUAAAAAGUUAAACGUGGUUCAAUAACUUAACAAAUACUGAGGUAAAGAACAGUCUUACCGGUGAGUUAUCUUCUGUUUAAGUGGGACUGAGGAAAACCAUCUCCUUGAAGAAGUUUACGAAACACCUCCCUCGUUUUUGUUCUGUUUGUGUUUUUGUCCCGUUUCUUUCUACUUGAGGUAGCCUCAAGCACUUUGAAGGUUUGGGGACAGUAAAUAAAACUGAUGGCCAUUUUUUGUCAUCCAUCUUGAGUUGGUAUGUUCUCCCGUGUUCAGGAGUUCACUCCUCGGUCCCCAGGGACACAAGUACAGUGGAAUGCGUUGAUGCCCGGGUUUCUUGUGCACGUCCCGUGUCUCCAGGGCCCCGUCUCCCUUAGCUUGAGUCAGUGGGCCCAGUGGGGACCCCACCCCUCAGAGCCACUCUGCAGUUGUGUUCUUAUAUUCUGUCUCUCUCCUCUCUCUCUGCUCUCCUCUGUGGACGUCCGUUCUGCCUCUCCAUGGGGGCUAACCAAAGAAGAACUGACCGUAACUUCAUAGCAAGAAGAGUAGGGACAGGCCAGGGCUUUCCUGGGCUGGCAGCAUGGGCUUGGUGAGGCGGAUGGGUGGCCAACAACGUCAUCAUGGCCACCCCUUCCUCAGUGCUUCCUGCUGGCCGGGUGGGACGUCAGUAACUCACAAGGGCCCUCAUGUACCCUUCACAACAACUCUGUACCCAUCGCUGGCACAGACCACCCCCAGCUGUAGUGGCCCAAUACAAUAACAGUCAUCUUACGUUGCUCAUGACCCUGGCGGUGGUCCCGCAACACGAGGCCCAGCUUCUGACUUUGCAGGGGCAUCUGUGGGGAGCCGGCAGGCCCGCGGGCAGUUGUCUGGGGCCAUGGGAGCGACGGCUCUGUGGUCUCGUCCUCCAGCAGGCCAGCCCAGGCUCACGUGGGCUUCCUGAGAGCCAGUGGAAGUUCCAAGCGCUCCGGAGACGAAGCCUGCCACAGGCAGAGCAUCGCUUCUGCUGCGUUCUGUUGGUCAGACUAAGUCACGGGUUCCACCCGGACCCGAGGUGGAAAAAUGAAGUCUACUUCCUGCUGGGGGCAGCUGCCAGGAGGCGCGGACGUGAGGAGGGAUGGAGGGGGGUGUCAUUGUCUUUACUUCUCAACCUUAACUCAAGGAUCCUACAGGGAGGAAGCAGAGCACAGCUCUGGGAGGUUUUGGAAAGUCGGGAGCAGAGCUCGAGAAUCCGGUGUUUCUAAAGAAUGCUCCCUGGGUGCCCCUGGGUGGCUCCGUCAGCUGUGAACAGGUCACGAUCUCACAGUUUCGUGAAUUCGAGCCCCGAGUCGGGCUGUGCGCUGAGAGUGCAGAGCCUGCUUGGGAUUCUCUCUCCCUCCCUCCCUCUUUCUGUCCCUCCCCUGCUUGUGCCCUCUCUGUCUCUCUGUCUGGGUGAAAAUGACACCGGGAGGAGGAAAGGACCCCAUCCAACUCUUUCUUGUGAUAGAGAAAACCGAGUACGGGUUGGCUUCCGGCUCUGGCUUGAUUUUCACAAAGACUCAGCAGAGCCGUGCUAGGGAGAGGAGCACACCCAGGGUGUGACAGGGACUCUGUUGGGCACAGUCACAGACAUUGUGUCAGGAAGCACCCCUGCUGAUCCUGAGGAGAUGGAAUGAUCAUCUCUGUUUCGCAGAGGGGAAGACUCAGCUCAGGACGAUGGUGGUUUUCUCCAAGUCACCAAGCUACCAAGUGGCAGCGUGGGACUACACCCCCCAUCUGUCUGAUGACAAAGCUUUUCUGUUGCCAUCCUGCCUCACAGUUAAGGACAGGGCCUAAUCCUUGACAUCAGGAAACUGCCAGGAAGUAAAUAUUGUCGUCCUACCUGCUGCCGUCCCCUGCCCAAAAUAGAGAAUGAGAUAAGAUAGGGUUUGAGGAUGAGCUCACAGGCGUGGGUCAGGUGGGAGGAAGGUGAGCAGGACUGUCACUUGAACACUGAACAGAGUCAUUCUGGCUUCAGAGUGUCCUCCAAGAGGGUUCCUUAUUUCUGGGGUGACCGUAGAGUCUAUCAAACUGGGACACUUCAGGGACUUACUGGGAGCAUCAUUAAUAAUUAGCCCCAGGAAAACAGGCAUAACUUGGGACUGUCCCAGGCAACUGGGAUCCACGGUCACCCUACCUAUGACCAAAAUACAAGGAAGGCUUGGUGACUCAGCACCCUCCCUGGAGUGGGCACGAGGAGAAGACUCUGGCCUUGGAGCCAGAUGAGGUGGGCCUUAGUCUACCCCCUUCCCCAACUGUCUGAGUCUGGGUCUCUGUACCGCAGCCCUAACGAUGCCUACGCAUCUAUUGCUGUGCAGCAAAUGACUUCAAAACCUAGUCGCUGCAAACAACGGUCGUUAUCGUUCACAGAGGGUCAGCGGUUUGGGAUGCUUCUAGCUCAGGGUCUCUCACGAGAGCUCCAUCAGGAUCUGAUUAGGGCUACAGCUGUCUAAGCCUUGGCUGGGCUGUGGGGCUGGAGGAUUUGCUUCUGAGGUAGCUCCCCACGUGGCUGGCAGGUUGGUGGUGGCGGUCGGCGGGAGGCCUCACAUUUUCCGCACCAGGGCGCCUGCAGCAGGUGGUCUGAGUGUCCUUACAACAUGACGGCCGACUUUCCCCAGAGCGAACCAGGCAGCUCACCUGCUCACGACCUUCUCUCAGAAGGUCACACAGAAUCCGUCACUUGUGCCACAUGAUGUUAUUUGGACGUGAGUCAGUAAGUCUGGCCCACGUUCAGAGGCUGGGGACUGAGACUCCACGGUUUGAGGGGAGGAGGAGCAAAUAAUUUACAGACACACUUGGAGAUCACUGUCCCUAUUCAGGAUGGAUGUUCCGGACUUAUAAGCUAGUGCUGUCUGUAGACUGCCAGCAACAGUUCCUGGCACUCGUUAAAAACAAAGAUUCUCUUGGCCCUCCAAGGUCCAGAAGCAGCAUUCCCAAAUGACGGUGGACAAGGACGGGGUUCAAGGUCCCGCAAGCCUAAGCGUGCCUACCAGACACGAAUGAACCUGAGUCACCUUUACAACUAAAGGGCUGAUGGUAUUAGGUCAGCUCUGAGGCCGCUUCAGAUAUAGGCCAUUCCUCUGUGGGAUCCGGAUAGAAGACUCCAUCUCAGUGUGGAAUCUAACACAUGUCCCCCUAAAACCCUCUGAUGAGAACCCCCCCGGCCCCCCUCUGGUGCCUGGAGCCAUCAUGGCUGAGUCUCCCUGGCCUCUCCAGGGAGCUGGGCCCCAGAGCGGUAGCCCUACUUUGGGGACCCCUCUCCACACCACCCUCUGCUAGGCCCUUUCAAGGGCUUUUACUUAAUUUGCUUCCCAGAACACUGAGAUAGGUACUUAUACGUGUUUUAAAGCUUUUUGUGGCAAGUGAUGAAAACUGGCUUGGGUGAAAAAGCAAUUUAUUAUUUUGCAAACUGGAAAAAAACAAAAAACAAAAAAACUUAGGGUUGGCGUGAGCCACAGUCUGUUGUUUGGGCCUCAGAAAGUUGUUACAGUGUCUCUCCAUCUGUCAGCUUCUCUUUCUCAUUUUGGUCCAUUGCUCAGACAGGCUGUCCCCUCAGGGUGGCAAAAUGGCUGCCAAGCUGCAGUCAAUGAGCAAUCUCAUGUCAUAAAAGUCCUAGCCUAGGUCACAUGCCCCACCCCUCGGGAGGGUGGAAGUUGGGGGGGGGGGGAGUGCCACCCACAGUUCCUGGCUCCCCAGAGGGGAUUUGUGGUAGGUUCUCACAAAGCUGGAUGAGAAGCGUUAUUAUCCUCAUGUGCCAGGGCAAGAAACCGGGCUCAGCCCAGGAGGGCUCUGAGGAGGUGCAGAGUUGGUGCUCGCAACAGAGGGGCCUCCCUCCUCUGUAUCCCUUCAUCCGGAAGGUUCCAGCUGAAAGGACAGCCUGUCGUCUCCGAGCACAGAGGAGGGCAGGACUGAGCCACAGAUGGAGGAGGGAGGAGGGCCUCGAGAAGACAAGAAACAAGCUCUCUCCCCAAAUAAGCAGAAAGCCUGAGCUGUGAAACCGAGAUUGUUGGCACUGGGGAGGGGUCUGAGGGCGCUUCCCUCGUGAGGUCAUUGGAACAGGGCAGGAAAUCUGAAUCUUGUGCCAAAGAAAA
Panthera uncia (snow leopard) is the source of this 5877-nucleotide long non-coding RNA. RefSeq lists it as uncharacterized. The record is from RefSeq and is a predicted model, not a curated record. Lineage: Eukaryota; Metazoa; Chordata; Mammalia; Carnivora; Felidae. The transcript has 2 exons.